RNAcentral lists this unclassified non-coding RNA (336 nucleotides) under soil metagenome. Its description in RNAcentral is "partial contains 5.8S ribosomal RNA, internal transcribed spacer 2, and large subunit ribosomal RNA". The stretch from base 1 to 120 matches the Rfam family "5.8S ribosomal RNA", at positions 35 to 154 of the family's 154-position model. The record is from RNAcentral.
GAUGAAGAACGUAGUGAAAUGCGAUAAGUAAUGCGAAUUGCAGAAUUCAGUGAAUCAUCGAAUCUUUGAACGCACAUUGCGCCCGCCAGUAUUCUGGCGGGCAUGCCUGUUCGAGCGUCAUUUCAACCAUCAAGCCCCCGGCUUGUGUUGGGGACCUGCGGCUGCCGCAGGCCCUGAAAAGCAGUGGCGGGCUCGCUGUCACACCGAGCGUAGUAGCAUACAUCUCGCUCUGGGCGUGCUGCGGGUUCCGGCCGUUAAACCACCUUCAUAACCCAAGGUUGACCUCGGAUCAGGUAGGAAGACCCGCUGAACUUAAGCAUAUCAAUAAGCGGAGGA